ACAAAACAGGCAGGGAGAUUAAAUUCCUGUCGAAUUCGCGGUCAAGUCUUGGGAGGAUCAGAUCUUAGGCGCGCUCGUCGCAGCCCCGGCAACGGUUACAGAUCACGCGAUACUUAAAACAAGGCUUUCAGCCUUGUUUUUUUUU
Molecule: small RNA, 145 nt
Organism: Rhizobium gallicum bv. gallicum
Lineage: Bacteria; Pseudomonadati; Pseudomonadota; Alphaproteobacteria; Hyphomicrobiales; Rhizobiaceae
Rfam family: Alphaproteobacterial sRNA ar9
Source: Rfam